This 511-nucleotide long non-coding RNA is filed under the name Equus caballus (horse). Its description in RNAcentral is "lncRNA (ENSECAG00000052155.1)". The record is from RNAcentral. Lineage: Eukaryota; Metazoa; Chordata; Mammalia; Perissodactyla; Equidae.
CCAUCCUAAAUAAACAAAUCAACAAACAAAAAGAUUCCAUGAUCCAAUGAUUUGGGAAAUGUUGGAUAAAAAUGUUUCUUACUGCCUCAAUUACAGAAAAUCUCAACAUUAUAAAAUGUGGUGUAAGUUUCCAAAAAAGAAGAUAUGGUGCGUAUUUGACCAUGGACAGCCCUGUAGGCUUUUAAAGAGAGCACCCCUCUCGAAUGAUCCAUGCUGGGAGGUGAGACAUUCUAAUACAUCUAGCAGAUUCCAGUGGAAAGUACAGAUUUGCUCAAUGCUUUGGUGCUGUGAUGAAUCUCCAUUUUCCAGACGAGAAAACUGAGAGAUCAGAAAGGUCAAGUGCCUUUCCCCAGGUCACACAGCAGGGUGGUGGUGGAGACUACUGUGCAAACUCAGUCUGGCUCUGCAGCCUCCACGUUCCAUCACUAGGCUAGUCACACUCUCCUAUAACCUGCUUUUAUCAUGUAACUGAUCACAUUUAUAUUUCCAUGUCAAUAAAUAUAGACUGCAU